GAAAUAGAAAGGGGAUGAGUGUUUCGAGGAGGUGUUGGAGUGGGUGGUGUGGUAAGAUUUCAUAUUUAUUUUCCAUAAAAAUUGAGAUCUUGCCGAUACCGCCCAUUCCUAUGGCUUCUGAUCAUUUCUCUCUUUCCUUUUUC
This 143-nucleotide microRNA precursor is filed under the name Solanum chilense. RNAcentral describes it as "pre-miR482b". Lineage: Eukaryota; Viridiplantae; Streptophyta; Magnoliopsida; Solanales; Solanaceae. The record is from RNAcentral.